GUUUUACUUCAUUAAUACAUUUGAAUUCUGAAUCUUUUUUUGGUAUUUCAUUCUAAUUUUUCUGUUCAACAUGUUUUAAACUGUCGGUGCACAGUAUGCAGGAGACAACUCAGUGAGCAGUGGAGAGGAUAGGCAAAGUGCUUUCUGACAACUUUACCACGAAUCUCCAAUUGAUGAGGCAUAUUGAAAAAAAUGCACAUUCCCUUAUUGGACAAAGUUACAGAAAAGACCCCUCAGUAUUAGCUGGUAAACAUGUACAGGAUGUCAAAACCACAAUGACAUUUAAUACAAAAUGAAACUCUCCUGUUAUUGUACCACACAUGCUGGAUCCUGCACCUGAAGCUGAACAAAUCUUUGUGCGAAACUCUCCUCCCACAAGCGUACGGGUGAACCGAGAUACGGUAUUAAACAAUGUUGGACAUGGUCUUGCUCACUGCUGUGUUAUUCCAACAAGCGUCAGCCUGCAGCAAACUGCCCUCUGUCCACCAGCCAGCCUUCCUGCCUGCAGUGGAAGGAAGCACUGCUUUGCUGCCGUGUCAUGUGUUCCCUGGCAACACGAACCCGGAGAGAAUUCAUUUUCAGUGGUGGUACAGGAAUAAGAAUAAAAAAAUAAAUGUGUACCCAGAUGAUUUAUCAUCUCUAAACCACACAGGACGGGUGUCUCUGUACCCAAGCGGUGACCAGUACAGCUUGACCAUAGCCAUUGCGAGAGUUCAAACCACAGACCAGCUCUCCUACACCUGCAGCUUCUCCUUCAUCCUCAACGGCAGCUACCACAUACUUCAUGGAAAUGGAACAAAGCUCUAUGUACAUGGACCUCUGGAAGUGACCGAGUCCUGUUUCCGCCUCAACAUAAACCUGACCUGUCAAGUUCUCGUCCCUGACACCGACACCAGCGAUAGCGGCGAUGUCACCAUGCUGGGGUGGCGCGGAGCUUUGAGCAAUGAUGAUUUGCCAGCGUACCAGAGCCAGCUCAUGAUGAAGAACAGACGAAUCCUGCUGAGAUCCCAGAUAAGCGUGGCCAUUGCCCACAGCCAAGGCAUCUACACCUGCUCUCUCCAGAGGGGCCCUGACCUCCUGGCACAGAAGAGCAUCCGAGUGGUGACUGAGGCUAACCCAGUGCUGAUCUACGCUGCCAACCUAAUCAUCUCCUUCCUGAUCCUCCUAGUCCUCGUUGUCAUCGUCGUUCUACAGAGGAGAUUCUCCUGCCGGCGCAGGCGUUAGGGGUCCAAGACAGAGGGGACCCUGCUCCUCGAAGGCUGCGAGGUUCCGCUGCCACUCUCACUGCCUUUGGGAAGGUGAAUCCUGCAAGUAGAUUCCGAAAUGUAGGGAACAGAGACAGUACAAGUCCUAACUACUUAGGAUGGUAUUACCAUGCCUGACUGCAAAUUCUCACAACUCACUUUCGUUUUCAUUGCACAACACUGUACCGUGCUUCCCCAUAAAUUACCUUUGUCUGUGCUGUAAAUGUCAUUAAAAGAGAAGUUAGAUUUAAUCGUUCAGCUCAUGUUUUUCUGCAGACCAACCUGCUACUUUGUAAUGUUACGCCUUGUUUACAAAGCUAUAUGCAAUGAAUUACCUGUUCAUACAGCUGGAUAAUCCUUAAUGGAGCAGUUCUACAGUUCAUAGUCACUUACAGUGGGAGUGGGGAUCUUAACCGAGGUCCUGCUUGCUGCCUUUACAACAAUAUAUGCCACCGAGUCACUGAAAUACAGUACAGUACUUGCAAUUUUUUCAACUUUAUGAUGGUGAGCUGGCGAUAGACAUUCAGUAGAUACCGUACUUCGAAUUUUGAAGUUUGAUUUUUUUCCCUGGUAAGCAAUAUGAGGAACGAUACUCUCUUGCGAUGCUGGGCAGCUACAGCAGCCACAUCUCCCAUUUGGUCACGCAGAGGUGUGUAUUAGGUGUAUCAAAUGCAUUUUCGACUCAC
Molecule: long non-coding RNA, 1930 nt
Filed under: Scleropages formosus (Asian bonytongue)
Lineage: Eukaryota; Metazoa; Chordata; Actinopteri; Osteoglossiformes; Osteoglossidae
Description: lncRNA (ENSSFOG00015033009.1)
Source: RNAcentral